CCUACGGGAGGCAGCAGUGGGGAAUUUUGGACAAUGGGCGAAAGCCUGAUCCAGCAAUGCCGCGUGCAGGAUGAAGGCCUUCGGGUUGUAAACUGCUUUUGUACGGAGCGAAAAGGCUUUCUCUAAUACAGGGGGCUCAUGACGGUACCGUAAGAAUAAGCACCGGCUAACUACGUGCCAGCAGCCGCGGUAAUACGUAGGGUGCGAGCGUUAAUCGGAAUUACUGGGCGUAAAGCGUGCGCAGGCGGUUCUAUAAGACAGGCGUGAAAUCCCCGGGCUCAACCUGGGAAUUGCGUUUGUGACUGUAGAGCUGGAGUACGGCAGAGGGGGAUGGAAUUCCGCGUGUAGCAGUGAAAUGCGUAGAUAUGCGGAGGAACACCGAUGGCGAAGGCAAUCCCCUGGGCCUGUACUGACGCUCAUGCACGAAAGCGUGGGGAGCAAACAGGAUUAGAUACCCUGGUAGUCCACGCCCUAAACGAUGUCAACUGGUUGUUGGGUCUUCACUGACUCAGUAACGAAGCUAACGCGUGAAGUUGACCGCCUGGGGAGUACGGCCGCAAGGUUGAAACUCAAAUGAAUUGACGG
RNAcentral lists this ribosomal RNA (585 nucleotides) under uncultured bacterium. Its description in RNAcentral is "bacterial SSU rRNA". It matches the Rfam family "Bacterial small subunit ribosomal RNA", at positions 338 to 916 of the family's 1533-position model. The record is from RNAcentral.